UACCAUGCAGUCGAACGGUAAGGCCCUUCGGGGUACACGAGUGGCGAACGGGUGAGUAACACGUGGGUAAUCUGCCCUGCACUUCGGGAUAAGCCUGGGAAACUGGGUCUAAUACCGGAUAUUCAGCUUUCACCGCAUGGUGGUGGUUGGAAAGUUUUUCGGUGCAGGAUGAGCCCGCGGCCUAUCAGCUUGUUGGUGGGGUAAUGGCCUACCAAGGCGACGACGGGUAGCCGGCCUGAGAGGGUGAUCGGCCACACUGGGACUGAGACACGGCCCAGACUCCUACGGGAGGCAGCAGUGGGGAAUAUUGCACAAUGGGCGAAAGCCUGAUGCAGCGACGCCGCGUGGGGGAUGACGGUCUUCGGAUUGUAAACCCCUUUCAGUAGGGACGAAGCGCAAGUGACGGUACCUGCAGAAGAAGCACCGGCCAACUACGUGCCAGCAGCCGCGGUAAUACGUAGGGUGCGAGCGUUGUCCGGAAUUACUGGGCGUAAAGAGCUCGUAGGCGGUUUGUCGCGUCGUCCGUGAAAACUCGGAGCUUAACUCCGAGCUUGCGGGCGAUACGGGCAGACUUGAGUACUACAGGGGAGACUGGAAUUCCUGGUGUAGCGGUGAAAUGCGCAGAUAUCAGGAGGAACACCGGUGGCGAAGGCGGGUCUCUGGGUAGUAACUGACGCUGAGGAGCGAAAGCAUGGGUAGCGAACAGGAUUAGAUACCCUGGUAGUCCAUGCCGUAGACGGUGGGCGCUAGGUGUGGGGUCCUUCCACGGAUUCCGUGCCGUAGCUGACGCAUUAAGCGCCCCGCCUGGGGAGUACGGCCGCAAGGCUAAACUCAAAGGAAUUGACUGGGGCCCGCACAAGCGGCGGAGCAUGUGGAUUAAUUCGAUGCAACGCGAAGAAUCUUACCUAGGCAU
This 913-nucleotide ribosomal RNA is filed under the name Dietzia sp. Rc12a. RNAcentral describes it as "bacterial SSU rRNA". It matches the Rfam family "Bacterial small subunit ribosomal RNA", at positions 52 to 982 of the family's 1533-position model. The record is from RNAcentral. Lineage: Bacteria; Bacillati; Actinomycetota; Actinomycetes; Mycobacteriales; Dietziaceae.